Molecule: long non-coding RNA, 821 nt
Filed under: Oryza sativa (Asian cultivated rice)
Lineage: Eukaryota; Viridiplantae; Streptophyta; Magnoliopsida; Poales; Poaceae
Description: long non-coding RNA (OSAT_LNC001616)
Rfam family: MIR812 microRNA precursor family (bases 351-558)
Source: RNAcentral
UGCCCAUGUUUUGGCAUUACAAAAUGUAGAAUAAGUAGAAUAGAUGCCUCUCACAAAGUGUGGAGGUGAAAUCUCAUAUAUAUAUAGCUGAGUUACAGUUAGUGCUACAAAAGACCAAGAGUUACACUUAAUGCUAGUGCUGAGUUUACACUAAAUUCUAUAAGUUACAUAAGCCCAAAAGUCUAGAAGAGAAACAGUCUAAGGAUUAAUAAAUAAUCCUAAUACAAAAUUAUGGUAAGGUAGAAAAUCAAACCAGCCUUUAAGUACAUAAGAUCUAACAAGGUCAGACUAUAUUAGAUGGAUAAGUAUCUAUAUUUCAUUAUGCUUAUCACAUACUCCCUCCAUCCCAAAAUAAGUGUAGUUUUGCACUGUUCAUGUCCAACGUUUGACCGUUUGUCUUAUUUGAAAAAUUUUUAUGACUAAUACUUUUAUUGUUAUUAGAUGAUAAAACAUGAAUAGUACUUUAUGCUUGACUACUUUUUUAAAUUUUUUUCAUAAAUUUUUCAAAUAAGACAAACGGUCAAACGUUGGACACGGAUACCCACGGCUGCACUUAUUUUGGGACGGAGGUAGUACAUCACACCACCAAUUAAAAUCACUGUGACUAAUAUCCCAUCAUAUAAUGCACUUAUCCACAUGUUAUUCCGCAAGCAAGUGAAGAACAGCAAUUGUCACAUGUUAUUCCGCAAGCAAGUGAAGAACAGCAAUUGUACAACUUGAUCAUAACUUACAACAGCAAUGACCUCAAUGGUCCAUAUCAUAUCUACUGCUAUUUCUUUCAAGUGUCCACAGCUUGUAUAAUCAUGAAAAGAAUAAUAGAA